CGACUGAGUUAUUUCCCGAGUAAAAUCCCACAUGCAAAUAUAGAAAAGCCGCCUGAUGGACUGUAACAAUGAAUUGAAAAGACACACAGAGAAGGCGGAACAGAACCAAGAAGACAAACCAGCAGGGCUUAGCUUGUUUACAUGACGAAAUGAAGGAACAGACUCGGCGAAUAAACCUUCCAAUAAGUUUAUUUUCUUUUUCCUGAUUUCGCCCUUCAUUUUCAUUAACAAAAGCAAAAGGAAGAACCAAAUUUACCUGAAAAUAUCUGCUCGUCUCUGCUUCAGCUGCUAUAGGAACUGUUAACCUAAAAGGAAAACCCAAGUUAAACCCCAAAAAACAGGUGUAGGGAAAAUGGGUAUGGAAUCGAAUAAAGAGAAAGCUAAACCGUACCUCGUUUCCCGAGAAAAUGAAGCAAGAGAAAGAAAAUAACUCCAUAAGAAAAACAGAAAAAAAAAAUGCCCAUGGAAAAAUGUAGCCUCCCUAUUCAAAAAAUUUUCUCAACACAAUGCCGCUAAGUUUCCACGCUUUUUUCCCGUUCCUUCAACUUUCUCGGCAUGAUCCAACCAAAAAAGGAAAAAAUGAGAAAGAAAAGUAGCAAGAAAAUACCCAAAUUGCUAGCCUUCUCAGCAGUAUUGACUCAUUGAGAGCGGAAGCAGCGAGCCCUAAAUUGGCUGGAGAAAAAAGGAACAACAGAAGCAGAAAAGGCCGACUUACUAUAGACCAACCGAAGUGUCCGUUUAGCUCUAGUUUUCCCUCUCCUUCUCGCAGGAGAAAGAAAAUUAACGACUGCGUCCCUGGUUGAGAGAGAG
RNAcentral lists this long non-coding RNA (810 nucleotides) under Carica papaya (papaya). Its description in RNAcentral is "long non-coding RNA (CPAP_LNC014455)". The record is from RNAcentral. Lineage: Eukaryota; Viridiplantae; Streptophyta; Magnoliopsida; Brassicales; Caricaceae.